AGGACGAACGCUGGCGGCGUGCCUAACACAUGCAAGUCGAACGGAGCACUUCGGUGCUUAGUGGCGAACGGGUGAGUAACGCGUGAGAAACCUGCCUUUCAGUGGGGGACAACAGUGGGAAACUACUGCUAAUACCGCAUAAUGUUAUUUGGGGGCAUCCCCGAAUAACCAAAGAUUUAUUGCUGAAAGAUGGCCUCGCGUCUGAUUAGCUAGUUGGUGGGGCAACGGCCCACCAAGGCGACGAUCAGUAGCCGGACUGAGAGGUUGACCGGCCACAUUGGGACUGAGAUACGGCCCAGACUCCUACGGGAGGCAGCAGUGGGGAAUAUUGGGCAAUGGGCGAAAGCCUGACCCAGCAACGCCGCGUGAAGGAAGAAGGCCUUCGGGUUGUAAACUUCUUUUACCAGGGACGAACACAAUGACGGUACCUGGAGAAAAAGCAACGGCUAACUACGUG
This 457-nucleotide ribosomal RNA is filed under the name uncultured bacterium. RNAcentral's name for it is "bacterial SSU rRNA". It matches the Rfam family "Bacterial small subunit ribosomal RNA", at positions 26 to 507 of the family's 1533-position model. The record is from RNAcentral.